GUAGCUUAAAUCGAUGUAUCACGAGACUCGUGAGGAUCUCUUAAGCAGACUCACGUGUAGCCUUAAGGGACGGAGUCUUACGACGGAAGAGAAGCUGCUGGACAGAAGAAUGUGGCGGAUAAAACAUACGAGGAUCGCAAGACAGUGGGAAGAAAUUCGAUGAGGCGAAGGAGCGGCUGACCGGAAGUACGUUACUCGCCGCGUGGGUCGAUACUGUUGGAACAUCGGUACAGUGCAAACAGCUUCGAUAACAAACGUGCCCACUCCCACAAGCUUGUUUGCAGUUAAGAACGGUGCGAGAGCUUACAGGGAGAUACCUGUUACCCCGUCGCUUAUUUUCCCUUGUUCCCAGAACUCCGGUCGAAAUUCGCGACAUAACUUUCCGGCUGGUUGAGCCUAAGUUAAACGCGCGUUAAUGCAGACGUCGCGUGGGAUUCUUUAAUCGUAAACUCGUUUACGAUAGGUUUGUGAGUGCGAGGCGUGUGCUGGAGUUUGCGUUGGCUAUUCUAUUCUGGUAAAAGCGUGUAUUACGAGCCGGCGUAAUUCUCAUGAUGUAGUUCGUUGUACGGUGAAAUCACCGGCCCGUAACACGGUCACGAAGCAACACGAGCGUUCUUGUAAUUAUUAACUCGUCAUUAAUUAGUAUGAAUUCAAUUAAAUGGCCAGAGCAACCGGCUAUUACCUGGCCAAUUACAGAAUCGAGUGAUUGAAAGACACAUCAACGAUUAGAUAAUCCUUAAAGCGAUCCAGAGCCACGCGCGAGCCACCGCACAGGACCGGUAAUAUUGUUCCACGAUAGAAAUCAACCACGCGUUACAAUCAUCGAAAGUAGAUUGCAAGAAGUAAUCGUAAUUGCGAUAUGACGUAACCAGAUAAUUUUUAUGUUUCAACCGUUUCCACGUUUCAAACUUUUCCAAGUUUGAUGCUUUGAACUUUGAUCUAUCGAUCGUACGAUGAUAUGACACGUUCGAUUUAUUAUUUGCGUCAUGAGCGAUAGAAAUUGAAACGUUCUUUCGCAACUUUCACCCGAACUGAACUGACAUUCAUGGAUCAGAACGUUUCAGUGAUAGCCAUUCCAUGCUCAAACGAAGAUCGUAGGCGAAAAACAUGUCACGAAUCGAGCGGUUCCCGUGGAACAUUUGCUAGCUGUGGUUGGUUGAAGAGUAACACGAUCUUCUGGAUCCAGUCGCUUUUAAUAUCUCUUGGGCUUGUUCACGAUUUUCGGAAGACAGCACUAACUCUCGUCGAGGAAUCAAACACUUUGGAAAUCGACUGUUACGUACAAGACAGAGAAGUUUAUAGUCACGAUUUAACUAUGAUCGCCGUCUUCGUGAUUCAUACGUAGUGUCAACUUCUCACAAUAGUCGUUUAUUCGUGUCAAUAUUUUCCGCUCAUAUACAUCGAAUAGAGUAUAAUCUGUUUACAGUUUCGAAGAUCUUAGAUUUGAAAAACUGAUGAAGUAUCACUAGUAUAGAUAUUUGUAACCCGACGGAUUGUUCAUUCGUUAAUCUUUCUCGAUUAUCCACGGAAAAUGAUAAAUUAUUGAAAAACACAAUAAUCAACGGAUACAAGCAAGUAAGAAACAAUAACAAAGAAAAGCACGGGAAUAGGCGGACGAGGAUGACGCGUUGGACGCGAAAUUUGUUGAAAAAUAUUUUGACAAGUGUUUGACGUUCAAAUUCGCAAGGCAAACCGGACGAAGGCCUUCGCAACGUUUUGACUCGGAGCGUCGAGAAGAGACUGGCGAACGCCUUUCUGCCUCUGCCUGGGACAUCGCUGGGCAUCCCUUUCCACCAAUGACGAGGCUUCCUUACUGGUCUCACGGAGAGACUGUGAGUACCUUUACUCUUGAUAGGUUACCUUCGAGUUAACUCGAUAGGAUCGUAAACGUGCGCAUGCAUAUAAAUCACUCUUUCGAUCUUGGAAGUUGCAAGGAUUUUUGGACGAAUCUCGGUAACGGAGUCGGCCGAGAUCUGCCGUCGAGAAUCCAGGAAGUUUACGAGAAGUGGUCUCGAACCGAUUCUAUUUCGGAACGGAUCCCUUCUUGCCGUGUAAAUCUAUCUCAUUUAAAAUUCACUGUAUAAAUCUAUGCUAAUACAGAAAUACUUGUAUUCCUACUUAUCAAAAAUAUGCUAGGAAAAUAAAUACGUAUCUUCUAUAAAAUAAUUGUAACGUUCCUUUUCUGCUGUUCAAAAUUAAUUAUGUUUAAUAUAUUCGUAUCUGUAUUGUUUAAAUAGCAUUUGUAAUGCUUUUAACAUAAGUAAAAAAUUUUGAGCACAACUAAAUAGUUAUAUUUAAACUAUACUGUUAGUUGCUUUGUAUGAUCUUUUGUUUUAUAUGUAUAGCGUGGUUUUGUGGUUAUAGGAAAAACUUCUAAAAAAUUUAUAAUACAGUGAUGGGUGUAAAUAUAUCGCGGAUUUUGUAAUUGGAAUCGUUUCGGCACUUUGGUUAUAAGUGGGUUGCGAAUUUUUACGGAUUUACAGAAAAUUUGAAAAUAUAAAAAUGCACGGAAUACAGGUAAUAUGUAAAGUUGUAGUUUACUCAUAACUUUUAAUACUAUCUAGUUUAUAUUUGCAUUUUCUUAUAUCGCUGCUUGGCAUUGACAGUGGCACACACUCAAAAAAUGUAAAUUCUAGAAGGAAUGCUUUUAAAAAUUUGCAAAGAAAUCUUCGUACGUCAUUUCAAAGAUAUUAUAAGGCUGACUUAACACAAGAUAUGCCGAUAUUCGCGAAAGCGGUACAACCUUCCACUUUUCGCGUCACAAAAUAAAAACGAGCUAACAGUUGUUGUAAAACUAAGGCUUGGUUGACAGCGGCAUAACUACCUUUGACGCAAAGCUGCUAGAAUUAUAAGUAUGCCGUCUUACACGAUAAAAAUAAAAACAUAAUACAAGACUUGUAUUCGAUAACAGCAAAUUUGAAAUUUUUUGAGUUGUGACACUGUCGAUGCUAAGCAUCAAUACAGAAAUUCCUUCGUACAUAAAAGAAAUAGUCACCAAAGAUAUUCAAAUUUGAACAACGAUAUUGGAGCGCAUCGAGUGACCAAUAAGACGUUAGGUCGCAUGAGACGCAUCACAGAUGCGCCGCGGAUAUCGAUUCGCUGCGAUAUAUCGAUUGCGCGAAACAAUUAUUGCCAGUACAGCUGGACGCGUGAUACCUGAUACAGGUUAGAAGUGUACCGAAUCGAUUUAGAGAACGUAUUCCUUCUGCGUGUACCAUGGAAAAAAGCGGCGACUCUUUUCUUCACGGUGCGUUAUUGUCCACCAGCGAGUGCAAGAUCGAACGUCGAUAACUCAUUUCGAUGGCUAGGCGAGUGCCGCUGCGUCGUGAACGCAUAAUGCCGCGGUUCGCGCAGUCGAAAAAAGGUAAUUCAAGUUACACGAUCCUUUCGGCCUUGUAUCUGCGCGUUCGUUCGUUGAUCGCGCGUGACCCAUGGCGUCUUCCUCUUCGCGAUGGAACGCAAGACCUCUUAUCGAGAGUCUGAUCUCGAUCGUGUCGCGGUUUUCAAGGGAAUGACCAUUUAACCUUACCAAACUCGAGGAACCAGCCUUGACGCGACGUUGACGGGUCGGUUAAAGUUUCAAAGCGAUUCUCGUUUGUAGAUUUUCCCGCGAUUUCUCUUAUCUUACGUUUUAUCUACAAUGUCACUCUUUCUAGAAGGUACGAUCGUUUAACCUUACUAAAUCCGGAGGACAGGCAGCGCCACGAUGUCAACAUUCGAGUUGACGUUUUGCUUUGGUUAUCUCUUGCAAAUUUCACUCUGACGUGACAUAAGUUACAUUACGUGUAUUGUGUAUUGUUAUGGUUUGGCGAGGAUGGUCGUUUAACCUAAAAGAGCAAGGUGGAUUUCACGUAGUUUGAUAGGAAUGUCGAAGUUUCGAAAGAGUGAUAUUAUACAAGGUUUUUCUACGAAAGACGCUAUCGAUAAUGUAUUAUUCAACGUCUGCGAUUCUUGACCACGGGAACAAGGAAUUUCGAGGACCUACAUACAUGCACAGCGUUUGUUACCUGGUUGGCAUUGCGACGUGAAAUGUUUCACAGGUAUCGAAUCGCUGAUGCAAUUGGCCAUCGGUAAUACCUUGCUCGAGGGGAAUAUACGAGAAAUACAAAUGCUGUUGGUGGAAGGGGUACAGCAAGGAAAUCCCGUCUUUCGGUCGAGAAAAAUACAAUAACGGAUGACCACUCUUCGCAGCGUAUUCCAUCCGAAAUGCUUCUAGCCUUCCUCUUGUUGGCUGACAGACGAGAUAGCGCGACGGGAGCUAAAAUAUCCACGCGGGAUGCAAAUAAAGCCGACGUAGUCCGUCACAUGUCGAUUCGUCGCUUCGACACGUGCUCGUACCGCUAUUUAUCCGUAUCCGUGAUACGUAUCGCGCUAAUCGAAGAAUAUAUUUCACUGGGAACGAUGAAACGUUCUCGGGAUUCGAGAUCGCUGUAAUGGUUAAACAUCAAACUCGAACGUUAACCGGGAUUAUUGGAACAAUCGUAGCGUGGUCCGUUAACGACGGAGAUCUUUCUUGAUCAAAUACGACGGGGAUGGCGUGACACAAACAGACAAGUCAGUCACUAGGAGUACAUCGUGAAACGCGAAUCGUUCUAUUUACUCUACAGUUAAAGUUGCUUGAUAAAAAUAUACCAAACUAACAAAAAACAUAAAUAAAUCAAUCCAAAUAUUUAUUGUCCGAAUAUUUUUAGAAGUAAUUAUAAACACUGAGUACGUUCAACGAGUACUGUUAACAGAGAGUACAGUUAUAAGUAUUAAAACUAUAAGCUUUUCAUAAAUCAACAUUACGCUGCGUGUUUGUACCGCUGCUAAACGAGAUUGUUCGUUUUUGAACAACUAAAAAUCCCCGGGAAAAAUACAGGGAUAAUAAAAACAAACGAAAAACUAAACAUACAAAGAGAUAGGCAGUCUGAAUUUUUCCGUGUAUGUCGAACGAACAAACGAAUGUCGACAUGAAAAAAUCCAUGAGCUCACGGAUGAUUCGCUUUAAAGACCGAUUACCGAGUGCUCUUCGCUCGGAU
This is a long non-coding RNA of Bombus terrestris (buff-tailed bumblebee), 5021 nucleotides long. RefSeq lists it as uncharacterized. The transcript has 6 exons. NCBI's taxonomy places the organism in Eukaryota, Metazoa, Arthropoda, Insecta, Hymenoptera, Apidae. The record is from RefSeq and is a predicted model, not a curated record.